This 2288-nucleotide long non-coding RNA is filed under the name Canis lupus familiaris (dog). Its description in RNAcentral is "lncRNA (ENSCAFG00845012953.1)". The record is from RNAcentral. Lineage: Eukaryota; Metazoa; Chordata; Mammalia; Carnivora; Canidae.
AAUAGGCAUCAUGCCAUAUAGUAUGCAUAAAUUUGAUUAUGUUGACAGUGUUGGAAUUUCCAGUAAAAAUAUGCCAAGUCUUCAACUGUAUUUAAAUAUCUCUUGUAAAAAAAAUAUUCCACUGAUUUAGCUAAGAGCUAUAGAUCACACACAUACAUAUACAAAACCACAGCCAAAGUGCAGCAUCUACAUCCUUCUCUAUUUUUUUGUUAACUGUGAAACACUUUGCCUUAUAACAACAUUUUGGCCAGAGCUGGUAAACCACCUUAUCCCCUCCUCUCUCCAAUAGCAGAAAUAGUAUAAUUAAUAAGAAAUGGAAAACCUAAGCCAUGUUAAAUUUUCUUUGAUUCAGGAUUAACAGUCAAGAAAUAGUUAAUGAAACAAGGUAAAAAGCACCCUGGCAAUCACUGAGGGUAGUUCCAGAAAGCAAGGAAGAAGUGGCUUCUUUGGUUAUCUGUUGAUAUCAUACAUUAAUCAGGGAUAAGCCCUGCUCUUACUAUAAUUUAAACUAGGUCAGAAUGGAGCAUUCCCAACAAUUUGCUGAAUAAAAGAAGCUUUGAGUGGACUCUACGAAGCCUAGGGUCCUUUCUCUCAGAAGUAUACAAUUCCCACAGACCAGCCUAAAAAGAAGUGUUGAUGUCUCCUUGCAUGACAAAGUGACUGAACAGGGGGAUGUCUUUUUGUGGAAUUUUUGAUUAGGAGACAGCGAUUAAACUAGAUCUAAAUAAGUGAGCCAGUGGGUAAUAUUCCUUCAGAGCUAGGAUGACCAAUUUUACCUGACUACAUACUGACACAGAAAGAAGUAUCUGCAAAGAGACAAGAAAAUAGCAUGACAGAGAGAGAGAGAGAGGAGGGUAGGGGGAGAACACAUACACAGAGUAACCUCCUGGUCCCAGAAACACAGAAACUUACCACCUGACCUAUCAAUCCUGAUGUCAGCACAGCUGUACAUCCUAAUUAGAGGUACUGUGAGAUUCCCUGCAUUCAUCCAGUACGCUUUUGUUUGGUCUAGAUUCUGCAUAUCACAACUGAGAUUUCUUGGCCAAGACACUGAUCAAAUAUGCCCCAUGAUACCAUAUUUAUGCUAUUUUUAAAGACUAAAACUCUUUGAAAUCAACAUUUUACUUUUAGCUCAUUGACUGAAUCAAUGGGUGAUACUAAGGCAAAACAUUUAUAAUUCUACACUUCUGUAUUCCUGCCCUUAAACAUGCUUAAAUUUCCAUCACAAUGCUUUGACUCACAGGUCAGAAGUUAGGACAAAUACUAAAGCUACUUGAAAAACAGGCAAACUGUGCAUAAUUCAAUGAUGUUACUAAGCAGAUGCUAGCUUGGGGGCAUUCUGAGCAGUGCUGGCACCUUUAAAUAGCAAAUAUAGCUUCUAAGGCUGCCCAACUACUGACACAGCAGGGUUUAUCUACUGGGAGGCUGUGACUCACUUAUUCUCCCAACUCCCCUAUGUAAUCUGACACAAUGUAUCCCCAAGAUACUUCCUGCUGCUAAUGCUUCUAUUUCUAUCUUGGAGCCUUUUAAUUUGUAUUUUCCCCAAAUGGCUUAUGUCUGCUUGUCAAGUGGGAUUCUCACCUUACUUGGAACUACUGGCUCUUUGAUAAGGAUGAGCAGGCUGGCAAGAAGAGCUGGCAUGCCACAGAAACCUGUGUAAGCAAUCAACAGCUUCUUUACAGCCAAGUGUGAUUUUUCUGCAGCGCCAGCCGAAAGCAGCUCAGCACAACUGUCUCCUGCUAACAUCUGAUUUUCAUACACAAAAUCCCCAUUAGUACCUUUACCACCUUAUAAAAGAUAAGAGUUUGGGGUGCAACUAGCUGCUCCUACAUCACCCUCGUGGGGGCAUUUCUUGAAUCCUAUGUGCAUAAUCCCUUAAGUGGUACUUAGGGUUUAACAACAUUCAGUUUCUGCCCACCUAUAAGAAUACGAACAGUGAUUUUGAAUCCUGGCCCCAGAAUCAAGAUGGAACUGAGACUGAAUCCCAACUCUACCAAAGAUAUACUGAGAGAUACUGGGAAACUUAAUCACUCUGAACCUCGAUUUUUUUAAUCAAAUAAAUAAAAUGUUAGAACACACCUAUAGGUAAGAUUGAAAGUAUCAAAGACAAAUAUGUGUUUGUAAGAAUUAAGAACUGCCUGGCAUACCAUAAGGUACUCAAAAUAUGUAAGCUGCUGCACAUGAAAACUCCCAUUUCUGCUGAAUAAAACUCAAUGUCAUUUGGUUAAGGGAAGAUCAUCUUCCUUCUGUCCUUGAGGGAGGGGGAAAAAAAAAAAAAAAAAAAAAAA